Molecule: non-coding RNA, 311 nt
Filed under: marine eukaryotic metagenome
Source: RNAcentral
CAGUUUUAAUGCCCCGCCGUUAUCGAGAGGAAUCAAUGUUUGAACGGAACCUUUCCCAAAGCUUUUUUGACCCAUUAUAAUUGCCCGUUUAUUAUCCUUCAGCGCUCCGGUAACAAUUUCGGCCGCACUUGCCGAACCUCCGUUUAUAAGCACAAUCAUAUUUCCCGUCGGUUCGUUUCCGUCAUCGUGAGCUGUAAAUCUGGUUGUAUCGACUUUUUUUCUCCCUCUUAUGCUUACAAUUGUUCCUUUUGUCAAAAAUGCGUCCGAAACACUCACGGCUUGACUCAGUAAUCCUCCUGGAUUAUUUCUUA